CGGGAAGGUAAUGGAGGAAGGGAACUUGAGUGGAGCUGCAGACGACGGCGUCAACCCAAAACCACCACCCGGUUCCGAAGACUGCGCCGGAGAACCCGGGUCCGAAAAUAGCCCAUAGUUCAGCCAAAUCCAUCGCUCGAUGAUCUCUUCUCCAACAACAAGAUCUUCCUCCGCUCAAGUCAAAAUUGUAAGAAAAUUGAAAAAAAAAAAAACUUUAUUGUUGAAUCGAAUUAUUAUAAUUUUAUUUUUAUACAGAGAAAUAAUGUUGUUGUUUGGUUUAGGUAUUGGUUAGUGUUUUCUGACCCGAUUUGGACACAGAGUCGAACUGAACCGGUAAAUCCGGUGAUACGACCACUAAUUCGGUUAAGAUCCAUACGGAAAAUCCAACAAAUCUAACGAUCCGCUAUUAUUGGUUGAACCGGUUG
This 425-nucleotide long non-coding RNA is filed under the name Capsella grandiflora. Its description in RNAcentral is "long non-coding RNA (CGRA_LNC000273)". The record is from RNAcentral. Lineage: Eukaryota; Viridiplantae; Streptophyta; Magnoliopsida; Brassicales; Brassicaceae.